This 481-nucleotide ribosomal RNA is filed under the name uncultured bacterium. Its description in RNAcentral is "partial 16S ribosomal RNA". It matches the Rfam family "Bacterial small subunit ribosomal RNA", at positions 28 to 507 of the family's 1533-position model. The record is from RNAcentral.
GAUGAACGCUGGCGGCGUGCCUAACACAUGCAAGUCGAGCGAAGCGCUUAAAUUAGAUUUCUUCGGAAUGACGAUUUUUGUGACUGAGCGGCGGACGGGUGAGUAACGCGUGGGUAACCUGCCUCAUACAGGGGGAUAACAGUUAGAAAUGACUGCUAAUACCGCAUAAGACCCCAGCUUCGCAUGAAGCGGUGGUAAAAACUCCGGUGGUAUGAGAUGGACCCGCGUCUGAUUAGCUAGUUGGUAAGGUAACGGCUUACCAAGGCGACGAUCAGUAGCCGACCUGAGAGGGUGACCGGCCACAUUGGGACUGAGACACGGCCCAGACUCCUACGGGAGGCAGCAGUGGGGAAUAUUGCACAAUGGGGGAAACCCUGAUGCAGCGACGCCGCGUGAAGGAUGAAGUAUUUCGGUAUGUAAACUUCUAUCAGCAGGGAAGAAAGUGACGGUACCUGAAUAAGAAGCCCCGGCUAACUACGUG